Malus domestica (apple) is the source of this 668-nucleotide long non-coding RNA. RefSeq lists it as uncharacterized. The record is from RefSeq and is a predicted model, not a curated record. NCBI's taxonomy places the organism in Eukaryota, Viridiplantae, Streptophyta, Magnoliopsida, Rosales, Rosaceae.
CGGCAUCGUCAUCACCUUCUACACGCCGUCGUCUCUCUCUCUCUCUUUCUCUCUCUCCCGUCACUGCGCAACUCGACGAAACCCCAAGAACCUCCGGCGAGUUCUUCAUGGGUUAUGGUUAGGAUUUAGCACGGAAUCAGCCCGGGAAUAGGCGCACCCAUCUCCGGCGAGACCGUGGGUAUCGAGAGGUUUUCCGACCACCACGGGUCGUUUCACGGCAAAUGGAAGAGCCACAACCCACAAAGUCCUACACAAAUAGCAUGUUUUAGUUAUGGAGGCAGUUGUGGUGGAUAUGAUCUGAUCACUUGAAGAAAAUGACGAGUCUGCGGAUCUUUGUGGAUCUUCAUCUUUCACAUGGGAGGUUUUAUGACUACACCUACCAAAUUUAAUCACAACAGCGAACUUGAUAAUGAGACAUCAAUAAUUCAACGAUUCAGAAAACUUCAAUUAAAUUGGGACCCAUAAAUAAAUAUGUGGAAUUCCUAAUACUUCUUUUGUAAUCGAUCAAAGCUAGAUCAUUGAUGCCUAAUUCAGAAAGAGGAGUGUUAUUGGCACUUUAAAAGUCUCAUUGUACACUCUUCACAAGUGUAUUUUUCUUUCUUAAUAUAGAAAGUUUGGAGUGUAGAAUAAGAUUUUUGGAAUGCUACUAACAAUUCCCUUCAAAAAAA